This is a long non-coding RNA of Oncorhynchus tshawytscha (Chinook salmon), 1257 nucleotides long. The record is from Ensembl. NCBI's taxonomy places the organism in Eukaryota, Metazoa, Chordata, Actinopteri, Salmoniformes, Salmonidae.
GUACAGAGGAGACAGGUGCUGGAAAACAUGAAGGAAAAAAACGCCAUGCCAAAAUGACUGAGAGGCCUUGUUUCAUGUGCGGCUUUGCUAUGGGAAUGAAUGAAUGGCAGAGUCUAUUUACGAUUAGUCCCUGCCGACCUCUGUUUAUCUGCGUCCCCCAAGAAGAUACUACUGAACUACAGAACUCAGUGGUUGUGUCCCAAAUGAAACCCUAUUCCUUAUAUAGUACACCAGAGAUAUGUAGCGCCACGUAGGGAAUCAGGGGCCAUUUAGAACGCAUCCUGCAUGAAAAUAGAUGGAGGCCCUCUCCUUUCUUGAUUCAUGCUAUUCUCAGUAUUCAAGCAACAUGUGGUGAGUGACAACCCCAAUAGAGUGAGGGACUAUAAAGAGUGUUGUCUCUACAUCCAUGCUGCUGGCAGUGAUGAAUCCUUUUACAUUCUAAACAGCUCUUCAAUCAAAUUGGUGCCUUUUUGAAACACACCGUUCGGAGUCUGUGACAGGUCUCCCCUUAAAAUGAAGACUGAUUUCAAUAUGAAAGUAGGAUUUUGACAUGAUAAGCGCGUGAGAGACCUUGAAUUGGUCACACAUGUUUGUUAAUUUCCAAUAUUCUCCUGUUCCCGCUUACAUCUCGUAAUGGCACCCUUUACAUCUCUUAAUGGCACCCUUUACCCCAGGUUACAUUUCUUAAUGGCACCCUUUACCCAAGGUCACAUCUUGAAAUGGCACCCUUUACCCCAGGUUACAUGUCUUAAUGGCACCCUUUACCCCAGGUUACAUGUCUUAAUGGCACCCUUUACCCCAGGUUACAUCUCUUAAUGACACCCUUUACCCCAGGUUACAUCUCGUAAUGGCACCCUUUACCCCAGGUUAUAUCUCUUAAUGGCACCCUUUACCCCAGGUUACAUCUCUUAAUGGCAUCCUUUACAUUUCUUAAUGGCACCGUUUACCCCAGGUUACAUCUCUUAAUGGCACCCUUUACCCCAGGUUACAUCUCUUAAUGGCACCCUUUACCCCAGGUUACAUCUCUUAAUGGCACCCUUUACCCCCAGGUUACAACUCUUAAUGGCACCCUUUACCCCAGGUUAUAUCUCUUACUGACACCCUUUACCCCAGGUUACACCUCUUAAUGGCAUCCUUUACAUUUCUUAAUGGCACCCUUUACCCCAGGUUACAUCUCUUACUGACACCCUUUACCCCAGGUUACACCUCUUAAUGGCACCCUUUACCCCCAGGUUACACCUCUUAAUGGCACCCUUU